GGAUCAUUACAGAGUAUUAAAACACUCCUGUAUAAACCAUUUGUGAACCUAUACCUUACGUUGCCUCGGCGGUCUUACCCUACAGCUUACCCUGUAGCGGGCGGACCGCCGGUGGAAAACCAAACUAUGUUUUUCUUUAGCAUCUGAGAGUCUUAUGAAAAUAAGUCAAAACCUUUAACAACGGAUCUCUUGGUUCUGGCAUCGAUGAAGAACGCAGCGAAAUGCGAUAAGUAAUGUGAAUUGCAGAAUUCAGUGAAUCAUCGAAUCUUUGAACGCACAUUGCGCCCCCCAGCAUUCUGGAGGGCAUGCCUGUUCGAGCGUCAUUAGUACCACUCAAGACCUAGUCUUGGCGUUGGGAGACUACCCGGGAGCUACCAUGUAGCUGUUACCCUGUAGCUCCUCAAAUUCACCGGCGGAGUGACGGUUCUACCUCUGAGCGCAGUAAUAUAUCUCUCGCUUCUGUAGGUGCCGUGGCCCUCGCCGCUAAACCCCCAACUUUUACUGGGUUGACCUCGGAUCAGGUAGGAAUACCCGCUGAACUUAAGCAUAUCAAUAAGCGGAGGAAAAGAAACCAACAGGGAUUCCCCUAGUAACGGCGAGUGAAGCGGGAACAGCUCAAAUUUGAAAGCUGACUUUCGGGUCCGCAUUGUAAUUUGUAGAGGAUGCUUUUGGUCAGGUUCCUUCCAAGUGCCCUGGAACGGGUCGCCUUAGAGGGUGAGAGCCCCGUACGGUUGGAAACCGAGCCUCUGUAAAGCUCCUUCGACGAGUCGAGUAGUUUGGGAAUGCUGCUCAAAAUGGGAGGUAAAUUUCUUCUAAAGCUAAAUACCGGCCAGAGACCGAUAGCGCACAAGUAGAGUGAUCGAAAGAUGAAAAGUACUUUGAAAAGAGGGUUAAACAGCACGUGAAAUUGUUAAAGGGGAAGCGUUUACGACCAGACCUUUUCUAGGCGGAUCAUCCGGUGUUCUCACCGGUGCACUUCGCCUAGUUUAGGCCAGCAUCGGUUUUCGCUGGGGGAUAAAAGCUUCAGGAACGUGGCUCCUCCGGGAGUGUUAUAGCCUGUUGUAUAAUACCCUAGCGGGGACCGAGGACCGCG
This 1093-nucleotide ribosomal RNA is filed under the name Xylariomycetidae sp. ARIZ FL1681. RNAcentral's name for it is "eukaryotic LSU rRNA". The stretch from base 508 to 1093 matches the Rfam family "Eukaryotic large subunit ribosomal RNA", at positions 1 to 597 of the family's 3401-position model. Lineage: Eukaryota; Fungi; Ascomycota; Sordariomycetes. The record is from RNAcentral.